Molecule: ribosomal RNA, 495 nt
Filed under: uncultured bacterium
Lineage: Bacteria
Description: partial 16S ribosomal RNA
Rfam family: Bacterial small subunit ribosomal RNA
Source: RNAcentral
GAUGAACGCUGGCGACGUGCCUAAUACAUGCAAGUAGAACGCUGAAGGAGGAGCUUGCUCUUCUGGAUGAGUUGCGCACGGGUGAGUAACGCGUAGGUAACCUGCCUGGUAGCGGGGGAUAACUCUUGGAAACGAUAGCUAAUACCGCAUGACAACAGUUAUUGCAUGAUAACUGUUUAAAAGGGGCAACUGCUCCACUACCAGAUGGACCUGCGUUGUAUUAGCUAGUUGGUGAGGUAACGGCUCACCAAGGCGACGAUACAUAGCCGACCUGGGAGGGGGGUCGGCCACACUGGGACUGAGACACGGCCCAGACUCCUACCGGAGGCAGCAGGAGGGGAUCUUCGGCAAUGGACGGAAGUCUUGCCGAGCAACGCCGCGUGAGUGAAGAAGGGUUUCGGAUCGUAAAGCUCUGUUGUAAGAGAAGAACGAGUGUGAGAGUGGAAAGUUCACACUGUGACGGUAUCUUACCAGAAAGGGACGGCUAACUACGUG